UAGUCCGACCUUAGCUCAGUUGGUAGAGCGGGAGACUGUAGUUCGUGAGCAGAUAUCUCUAGGUCGCUGGUCGAAUCCGGCAGGUCGGAAGUUCUGCCCCGCGCG
Molecule: non-coding RNA, 105 nt
Organism: Marchantia paleacea
Lineage: Eukaryota; Viridiplantae; Streptophyta; Marchantiopsida; Marchantiales; Marchantiaceae
Source: the annotation of a GenBank genome assembly